RNAcentral lists this ribosomal RNA (470 nucleotides) under uncultured bacterium. RNAcentral describes it as "bacterial SSU rRNA". It matches the Rfam family "Bacterial small subunit ribosomal RNA", at positions 30 to 490 of the family's 1533-position model. The record is from RNAcentral.
AUUGAACGCUAGCGGCAGGCCUAACACAUGCAAGUCGAGCGGUAGAGAGGUGCUUGCAUCUCUUGAGAGCGGCGGACGGGUGAGUAAUGCCUAGGAAUCUGCCUAGUGGUGGGGGAUAACGUUCGGAAACGGACGCUAAUACCGCAUACGUCCUACGGGAGAAAGCGGGGGAUCUUCGGACCUCGCGCCAUUAGAUGAGCCUAGGUCGGAUUAGCUAGUUGGUGAGGUAAUGGCUCACCAAGGCGACGAUCCGUAACUGGUCUGAGAGGAUGAUCAGUCACACUGGAACUGAGACACGGUCCAGACUCCUACGGGAGGCAGCAGUGGGGAAUAUUGGACAAUGGGCGAAAGCCUGAUCCAGCCAUGCCGCGUGUGUGAAGAAGGUCUUCGGAUUGUAAAGCACUUUAAGUUGGGUAGGAAGGGCGAGUAAGUUAAUACCUUGCUGUUUUGUACGUUACCAACAGAAUAAG